AAAACAAGCUUUUAAGAGCAGAUGGCGGAUGCCUUGCCAAAGAGAGGCGAUGAAGGACGUACUAGACUGCGAUAAGCUAUGCGGAGCUGUCAAGGAGCUUUGAUGCGUAGAUGUCCGAAUGGGGCAACCCAACUAAUAGAGAUAUUAGUUACUCUAACAGAGAGCGAACCUAGUGAAGUGAAACAUCUCAGUAACUAGAGGAAAAGAAAUCAACGAGAUUCCCUAAGUAGUGGCGAGCGAACGGGGAAAAGGGCAAACCGAGUGCUUGCAUUCGGGGUUGAGGACUGCAACAUCCAAGAAAACGCUUUAGCAGAGUUACCUGGAAAGGUAAGCCAUAGAAAGUGAUAGCCUUGUAUGCGACAAGGCGUUUUCAGGUAGCAGUAUCCAGAGUAGGCCAGGACACGAGAAAUCCAGGUUGAAGCCGGGGAGACCACUCUCCAACCCUAAAUACUACUCUUUGAGCGAUAGCGAACAAGUACCGUGAGGGAAAGGUGAAAAGAACCGCAGUGAGCGGAGUGAAAUAGAACCUGAAACCAUCUGCUUACAAUCAUUCAGAGCCCUAUGAUUUAUCAGGGUGAUGGACUGCCUUUUGCAUAAUGAUCCUGCGAGUUGUGGUAUCUGGCAAGGUUAAGCGAAUGCGAAGCCGUAGCGAAAGCGAGUCUUAAUAGGGCGAACAAGUCAGAUGCUGCAGACCCGAAGCUAAGUGAUCUAUCCAUGGCCAAGUUGAAACGCGUGUAAUAGCGCGUGGAGGACUGAACUCGUACCCAUUGAAACGGGUUGGGAUGAGCUGUGGAUAGGGGUGAAAGGCCAAACAAACUUAGUGAUAGCUGGUUCUCUUCGAAAUAUAUUUAGGUAUAGCCUCAAGUGAUAAUAAAAGGGGGUAGAGCCCUGAUUGGGCUAGGGCUGCUCGCCGCGGUACCAAACCCUAUCAAACUUCGAAUACCUUUUAUCGUAUCUUGGGAGUCAGGCGGUGGGUGAUAAAAUCAAUCGUCAAAAGGGGAACAACCCAGACUACCAAAUAAGGUCCCUAAGUUCUAUUCUGAGUGGAAAAAGAUGUGUGGCUACUCAAACAACCAGGAGGUUGGCUUAGAAGCAGCCAUCCUUUAAAGAAAGCGUAACAGCUCACUGGUCUAGUGGUCAUGCGCUGAAAAUAUAACGGGGCUAAGAUAGACACCGAAUUUGUAGAUUGUGUUUGACACAGUGGUAGAAGAGCGUUCAUACCAGCGUUGAAGGUAUACCGGUAAGGAGUGCUGGAGCGGUAUGAAGUGAGCAUGCAGGAAUGAGUAACGAUAAGAUAUAUGAGAAUUGUAUCCGCCGUAAAUCUAAGGUUUCCUACGCGAUGGUCGUCAUCGUAGGGUUAGUCGGGUCCUAAGCCGAGUCCGAAAGGGGUAGGUGAUGGCAAAUUGGUUAAUAUUCCAAUACCGACUAUGGAGCGUGAUGGGGGGACGCAUAGGGUUAAGCGAGCUAGCUGAUGGAAGCGCUAGUCUAAGGGCGUAGAUUGGAGGGAAGGCAAAUCCACCUCUGUAUUUGAAACCCAAACAGGCUCUUUGAGUCCUUUUAGGACAAAGGGAGAAUCGCUGAUACCGUCGUGCCAAGAAAAGCCUCUAAGCAUAUCCAUAGUCGUCCGUACCGCAAACCGACACAGGUAGAUGAGAUGAGUAUUCUAAGGCGCGUGAAAGAACUCUGGUUAAGGAACUCUGCAAACUAGCACCGUAAGUUCGCGAUAAGGUGUGCCACAGCGAUGUGGUCUCAGCAAAGAGUCCCUCCCGACUGUUUACCAAAAACACAGCACUUUGCCAACUCGUAAGAGGAAGUAUAAGGUGUGACGCCUGCCCGGUGCUCGAAGGUUAAGAGGAUGCGUCAGUCGCAAGAUGAAGCGUUGAAUUGAAGCCCGAGUAAACGGCGGCCGUAACUAUAACGGUCCUAAGGUAGCGAAAUUCCUUGUCGGUUAAAUACCGACCUGCAUGAAUGGCGUAACGAGAUGGGAGCUGUCUCAACCAGAGAUUCAGUGAAAUUGUAGUGGAGGUGAAAAUUCCUCCUACCCGCGGCAAGACGGAAAGACCCCGUGGACCUUUACUACAACUUAGCACUGCUAAUGGGAAUAUCAUGCGCAGGAUAGGUGGGAGGCUUUGAAGUAAGGGCUUUGGCUCUUAUGGAGCCAUCCUUGAGAUACCACCCUUGAUGUUUCUGUUAGCUAACUGGUCUGUGUUAUCCACAGGCAGGACAAUGCUUGGUGGGUAGUUUGACUGGGGCGGUCGCCUCCUAAAAAGUAACGGAGGCUUGCAAAGGUUGGCUCAUUGCGGUUGGAAAUCGCAAGUUGAGUGUAAUGGCACAAGCCAGCCUGACUGUAAGACAUACAAGUCAAGCAGAGACGAAAGUCGGUCAUAGUGAUCCGGUGGUUCUGUGUGGAAGGGCCAUCGCUCAAAGGAUAAAAGGUACCCCGGGGAUAACAGGCUGAUCUCCCCCAAGAGCUCACAUCGACGGGGAGGUUUGGCACCUCGAUGUCGGCUCAUCGCAUCCUGGGGCUGGAGCAGGUCCCAAGGGUAUGGCUGUUCGCCAUUUAAAGCGGUACGCGAGCUGGGUUCAGAACGUCGUGAGACAGUUCGGUCCCUAUCUGCCGUGGGCGUAGGAAAGUUGAGGAGAGCUGUCCCUAGUACGAGAGGACCGGGAUGGACGUGUCACUGGUGUACCAGUUGUUCUGCCAAGAGCAUCGCUGGGUAGCUACACACGGAUGUGAUAACUGCUGAAAGCAUCUAAGCAGGAAGCCAACUCCAAGAUAAACUUUCCCUGAAGCUCGCACAAAGACUAUGUGCUUGAUAGGGUAGAUGUGUAAGCGCAGUAAUGCGUUUAGCUGACUACUACUAAUAGAGCGUUUGGCUUGUUUUUUG
This 2888-nucleotide ribosomal RNA is filed under the name Helicobacter pylori. Its description in RNAcentral is "bacterial LSU rRNA". It matches the Rfam family "Bacterial large subunit ribosomal RNA". The record is from RNAcentral. Lineage: Bacteria; Pseudomonadati; Campylobacterota; Epsilonproteobacteria; Campylobacterales; Helicobacteraceae.